GCGCCACAGGCUCAAAAAAUUCAGCACCAGCUCUACCAGGGCCCCGGGAACUUUUGCUCUGCGGCCGCGUGAGCUGGACCGCGAACCGAGCGCAGAGCUGGGCCGCGGGGGCUGUGACGAAUCGGCGACGGGUCGGUAUUGGCGGAGUGAGCGGGACGCAGCGCGCCGUGGCGACUCUGCGGACCCGGCGGGUGCGCGCUUCCCUGUGACCGCUGCCCGUCCGGAGGUCCCCGCCCGCCCCGACACCCCAUCCCGUCCCCCGAGGACCGCUGCCCGCCGCGCCACUAGGAUGGAUCCUGAGGUCUCUGCCGUCCGGCUCACCGUCUGGGAGGCUGUUCACAUCCUUUCAUCUUCUGAGGAUGGGGGCCGCAUCUUCUGUACCCUGGGGUCCCUGAAGCGCUAUCUUGGUGCAACGGAGAAUCCAGCCCUCCCUGAGGAGCAGGAGGAGUUUGUCAGGAUCCACUUUUCCACCUUUCUCAGAUGUCUGGUCAGCAAGCUGAGCCCCGACUGGCUGGAGCUGCUGCCUGACGGCCAAAUGGAGGAGCUGUGGGCCAGCUUCUUCCUGGAGGGCCCGGCUGACCAAGCCUUCCUGGUGCUGAUGGAGUCCAUCGAGGGUGCUGCCAGCCCCAGCUUCUGUCUGAUGAAGAUGGCGCAACUGCUGGCCAGGUUCCUGAGCGUGGGCAGGAUGGCCGCUGUGAUGGAGGAGCAGUGUCGGCAGCAGGCAGGGCCAGCCUUCCCCCUGCUCCAGGAGACACUUCUCACCAAGGUGGUGGGCCUGCCCGAUCGCCUGGGCAACCGUCUGCAGCGGGAGAACCUGGCCACAUUCCUCCCUCAGAACUACUUCCCUCUGCUGGGCGAGGAAGUCCUGCGGGUGCUGCAGGUGGUCGUGGACUCUCUCCGAGGUGGCCUGGACUGCUCCGUCUCCUUCCUGUCUCAGGUCCUGGGGAAAGCCUGCGUCCACGGGAGACAGAAGGAGGUCCUGGGCGUGCUUGUGCCCCGGCUGACGGUGCUCACCCAGGGCAGCUGCCUCUGGCAGCGGGUCUGCUGGUGCCUGGUGGAGCGCGUGCCCGACUGGGCCAUGGAGGCCGUGCUGAAGGGGUUCGUGGAGGCUGCCCCAGGGCCUGAAGUCCUCUCACGGCUGCUGGGGAAUGUGGUGACAAAGAGUAAGAAGGCCCAGUUUGUAAUGACCCGGAAGCUGCUAUUCCUACAGUACAGCUGCACGAUGCCCAUGCUGCAGAGCCUGCUGGGCUACCUGGCCAUGGACAGCCAGCGGCGCUCACUCCUCAUGCAGGUGCUGAAGGAGCUCCUGGAGACGUGGGGCAGCAGCAGUGCCAUCCGCCAUGUGCCCCUGGUGCAGCAGCGCUACGUCAGCAAGGCCAUCCUCAUCUGCCUGGCACACCUGGGGGAGGCAGAGCUCCGGGACAGCCGGGACGAGUUGUUGGCCAGCCUGAUGGAGGGAGUGAAGAGCCGCCUGGACAGCAGCCUACCCCCUGUGCGCCGCUUGGGCAUGAUCGUGGCUGAGGUGGCCAGCGCCCGGAUCCACCCCGAGGGGCCUCCCCUGAAGUUCCAGUAUGAAGAGGAUGAGCUGACCCGCGAGAUGCUGGCUUUGGCCAUGCCCCGGCCCGCAGCUGACGGCCCCUCAGAGGCGGGCCCGUCUUUCGCUCCGGUCAGUGGAGAGACUCCUGACAGAGAGACUGUGGACCGCAGUGGACCCCAGACUGGGCCUGAGGGCUCCGACUCCGAGCUGGACAGCGAUGAUGAGUUUGUCCCCUACGACAUGUCGGUAGACAGGGAGCAGAGAAGCAGCAAGGCGCCCUCGUAUGUGCGGGGCUGCUUGGAAGCUCUGACUGGGUCCGAGGACUGGGAACGCUGGGAGGCGGCCCUGUGGGCCCUCGAGGGGCUGAUCUUCAGGAGCCCGGCUGCCACUCAGGAGGUGAGCGUGGAGCUGGCCAAGGUGCUGCUGCAUCUGGAGGAGAAGACAGCCGUGGUGGGGUUCGAGGGGCUGCGCCAGAGGGCCCUGGUGGCCCUCACAGUCACAGACCCGGCUCGGGUGGCGGAGUACCUGACCGCACAGUUCUACGCCCUCAACUACAGCCUCCGGCAGCGCAUGGACAUUCUGGACGUCCUGACUCUGGCCGCCCAGGAGCUGUCUCGGCCGGGGCGCCUUGGGAAGGCUCCCCAGCGGGGCUCCCCAGACCCCGGCUCCCAGCCUGGUGGUGCUGUGGUCCCGGCCUGGCGGGCGGUGGUGGAGGAGCGCGUCAGACGUAAGACCCGGCGGUUUUCCAAGGGCUCUGCAGGGUGGGCACCAGCCGUUGGCCCCAACGAAUUCAACUCGGUGGCUGGCUACUUCUUCUUCCCCCUCCUUCAACAUUUUGACAGGCCUCUAGUGACUUUCGACCUUUUGGGAGAUGACCAGUUGGUUCUUGGGAGACUGGCCCACACCUUAGGGGCCCUGAUGUACCUGGCCGUGAACACCACGGUGGCUGUGCCCAUGGGCAAGGCCCUGCUGGAGUUCGUGUGGGCCCUUCGUUUCCAUGGUGAUGCCUAUGUGCGCCAGGGCUUGCUGUCUGCUGUCUCCGCCGUCCUCCUCAGCGUUCCGGCUGAGCGGCUGCUGGCAGACCUGCUGGACGAGCUGCUGGAGGCCCGGUCCUGGCUGGGAGACGUGGCCGAGAAGGACCCAGACAAGGACUGCAGGCUGCUGGCGGUGAAGGCACUACUGCUUCUGGAGAAGCUCCGAGAUAAGCUCCUCCCGCUCUCCUCUCCUUAGCCCCCGACCCUCGGAAGGCACGUCCCACUGGAAGAGUGUGGGCUGGGGGCCAGCACGUGGGGCGGAGGUGCAGCUGGUACAGCCUGGAGUGUCUGCGGCUCAGCGAAGACUCUGCAUCAGGGCCUCGGGUUCUGCCCCCCACAGACUGGGACUGGGAUGUGGCCUCUGAGGCUUGGGCUCCAGGAUGGCUGCUCAGCCCGGUGCCUCCGUGCAGCCUGUAGACUGCAGAGCUGGGGCCACUGGGCCUGGGGGCUUCUUAGCAAUGUGCCCCCACCCCUUCCUCACCGAAAAGGCCAGGGACUUUAAGAACAACAGAAAAGGAAGAAUAAAAGAGGUGCAGGAGCUCUUUAUGGUUCUCACUCCUGCAGGGAGCCUGGUGCCCACACACGGCCCCCUGAAGGGGAGACAUGGAAAUGGGGGCAGGAAGGGGACACGGGCCUCUGAGAAAACAGACUUUAUUUGGAGAAUUUCGGCAGCUGGUGGGUGGAGCUGGGGGUGGGAAAGCAUGAGGCAGCCCCCCCGCCCCCAUCAUGGUGCUGUCCCUGAUUGGCCCCUUAUGGUGGGAGCUGGUGACGGAAAGGGCAUGGCCUAGAUGGACAGAGCCUCCUGCUGCAGCCCAGUGCCAACCGUUGUCUCCCGGUGGUCAGGACGGGGUGUCCUGUGGGAACCAGUCAGAUGCACUGCUGGGCAACCUGUGUGGGUGCCAGGAGUGGGGGGGCGGGAAUAUGGGGACACCCUCAGUUUCUUAGGCUUUACACCCUGUACUUGGGGGAAUGUCAUGGGAAAAAUGAACCAACUCCCUUGACUGCCAAGGGGCUAAAACAAAAUCCUGCAGGGGUCAGGGACUCAGAAGGGGUGGCUUAGAGACCCUCCCCCUGAUGCCCCUCGGAGGCUAGCGCAUUUUCCCACAGCUCUACCUACGGACUCAGACACAAAACUUUCACCAGGAACGUCAGGCUCCUGCUACUGAUAAUGACUGGCAAGUCCCAGAAGAGCCUGGGCAGCGGCAGGCCCUCAGGGGCCAUUCUCCACCUCCUCCAUCACCUCCUCGUCCAUCUCCUUGUGAUCCUCCAUGUUGUUGUGGCGCAUCUGCUCCGGCAUGGUGCACAUCAGAGGGAUGCCCAGGCCCUGGUGCACGGCGUCCACAGUGUGCUGGCUCACGUAGUACGACACGUUGGCGGAGGGCACUCUCUUCCGCAUCUCCUCCAGGGAGGGUCAUGUGCAAGCACAAGGAGCUGGAACAGGGCCUCACGUGGCUUCUACGGGUACACUGAGUAUCAAUUCAGAAUAUGAACAAAAUUUCCAGGAGCUUUUUGACUUUAUGAGGAAAUAAUCACAUCUUAGCAUUUCUUAAAGAUGAUAAAAUUUUAGACUGAUCUUAUUUCAGACAGAUAUAACUCUGAUAUAAACAAUAAAGAUCAUAAAGAUAAAAUAGGGUGUUUGGAGGGAUGGGGGAUGCAGCGUGCAAGUGCCCAGGAGCCCUCCAACGAUGGAAGGAGAUACCCAGGCACCAGGGACGCCCCUCGGUGUCUGCUGAGGGCCAGCUGUGAGCCGUGCUGGGCACACAGGACACAGGUACAAGGGAGGACCAAGCCAGGCCACUGGGCGCUUCGGUGAGAAGCCCGGCCCAGCAAGGGUAGAGGGAGUUGGGCAGCCGUGGGGUUUGGGUUGGAGAGCCUACGCAGAGGGGAGGGGGUGGGAGUCGGCGGGGAAGCCAGAGAGAACACCUGGGGGCGAGGAACGACACAGCCAGGCGCACUGGGGGCAAGGGAAGCAGCGUCUCCAGAAGGAGCGUCGGCAGUCUGUCAGGACUGGACUCAGGAUGGGGCCGUGAGGACCGAGCGGGAGGGACGUCCCAGGGACGGGGAGACCCUGGAGCAGCAGUGGGGGCUUCUGUGUCCCCUGCCCACACCCGGGGAGGAAACUCAUGCAGGCCUAUCCUUUCUCAAUGUAUUUAUAGAUUUUUUAAAAUUUAAAAUUACUAAAUCCUACGGGCUUCAAACAAGGCUUGAGACAACAAAGAAUUUGGUGAAAUACUUGAAAUGUGAUUUUUCUGUUAAUUUUGAGGAUUCAGUGGUCUGAGCAUCUCUGCAGUCCACGUUUGUUUUAUUCUCCAAAAAAGUGGGAACCUGUUGGGAUUCACUUUAGAGCUGUUUCCCCAACAACAAAAGGGGUCGGUGAGUGGAAGUGGCAGGGCCGGGAGGAUGUGAGCAAGUUGGCCGGGAAGUCUGAGUUCAUGGUGCUGACCCCCCAGACCUGGGCCACGGACGCUUGGCUUUCCUGGGAAUCUGGGAACUGCGCCCCGUGAGGCCAGCCUGGCCCACUGGCAACGCUUCUGAAUGAGUUGUCAAUCCUGGGUUUGCCAGCACUUGGGAAAGGAAAGCGGGGGUCCCUCGGGGUCACUGCAGCCUCACCAGGAACUACCUGCGAGGGACAGGCCGUGGGCAGAGCACGUGGACUACAGCACAGUCUGUGUGCUGUCCUUUAAAAGAUGAAGGGAAAAUGCAGCCAGGUGUGGUUCUGCUGCUGGUUUCAGAGGACGAAGACCGAAAAGAACGAGGACAGAGGCUUCUGGUGAGGGCAGGGUAACUCACAUUAGACCAGCCCCCCUCCCAAACGACAAGGACAAACUGGGCAAAAUGCAAAAGGCUCUGGAGAACAACCGUGGGCAGGGGGAGCCGACACUUGGGUGAGUUUUCUGCUUGUUGUAACUUCUGCCUCGGGGAGGCCCAGUCAGGGCCACUGGGGGAAGUAAAAGGCACAAAGAAACUGGCCAAAAGAACCAGAAUCAGAACUGCAUCCACCACAGCAGCUGGCAUGUGAGGAAAUGGUGAAGACAGUCGUGGAGCAGACAGAUUCUGAGUGUGGGCUCUGCCCUGACCUCUGCUUGACCCUGACUCUGCAUGUGGUGGGGACCAGCCACACGCCAAGGAGCCUGAGCAAAGCCACGUACUGAGCAGAGAGCCCGCUGCCCACCACGGUGGGGGGGCUUACACUCUGAGCUCGACAAAGACGGCUGCCUAAGGAAAGCAGGACAGAAAGAAGACAUAGCAGAAGCCAGGGUCUCUACAAUGUGUUAUCCACGAUGUCCGGGAUACAAAAAACUGCUGGACAUAAAAAGAAACAGGAAAACCUGACCUAUACUCAAGAGAAAAGACAAAUAAUGGAGACUAACUCAACAUGUCCAGAUGUUUGAAUUAGUGGCACAGACUUUGGAGCAGCAAUUACAACUAUGCUCAGGAGUAUAAAGUGUUCAUUCUUAAUGAAUCAACAAAUAGGAAAUUUUAGCAGAAAAUUAAAAAAAAGAACUAAGUGUAAAUUCUAGAACAGAAAAAUACAAAAUCUAAAAUGAAAAAUCUGCUGGACAGGUUAACAGCGGAUUGAAGAUAGCCAGAGAGAGUCAGUAUAUUUGAAGAUAGUUAUGUUACCUAAUUCAAGUAAUAGGAAGAAAAGAUUAAUAACAAUGAAUCAAUUACAAAUGUGUAUCCACUUAAUAUGAAAAGGCCUAACACUCAACUGGAGACCCAGAAAGAGAGAAUAAGGCAGAAAAAAAAUAUUUGAAGGAAAAAUAAUUACAGAUUUCCCAAAUACAGUCACAAAAGGAUCAAAUUUGUUUCCAAGUAACUUACCCUUAUCCCAGGAGAAAACUCAACAAUAUUGAAAAGAACACACACACAGACUCCAGCACUUGACAACCUAAAACAUUUACAGUGUCUGGAAUCCAAUAAAUAAUUGCAGACCUGCGAAGCAGGAAAAUACGAACCAUAACAAAGAGAAGAAUCGACCAAUAGGGACAACCGGAAUUGACAUGGAGCCGAGGACUUUACAGUAGUAAAUAUUUCACGUGCUCAGUAAGGCAGAGGAAAAAGUAGCAGAAUAAAGAGACACAGGAGACGGAGGGAGGAGAGCCGGUUCAGACCCACUGGAGGUGAAACUACGGAAGGAGCAAUACCAGAGCGGACUCUGCAGAAGGAAGACAGUCAACUUGCAGCAACAGCAAAGCAACCGCCCCAAAUGAAAAUAGGAAAAAUUCUGGGAAAAAGAAUCAGUUGAGCCAGGGGCCAAUAUAUACAAGUGGCUGGAGUCCAGAAGGAGGGGGAGGGCAAGGGAUGAAAGGGAACUCCCUACAGACGGGGAGAAAACACGGCAGCUCGCACAUCUGAUGCAGACAACGUCCAGGCCACACUCAAUAAGAAGACAAACACCCAAUGAAGCAAGGGGCAGUGUGAGCACUUGCAGGAGGGGACCUGAGCAGGGGCUUGCCACCAGCCACGCAGACAGGGUGUGUUACAACCACAGUGAGACACCACCACACACCUACCUACAUCGCAGCCACCACCAGCUGCGUGUCCACUCAAUACUUGGACUUUCCUGAUGAGAUCGCUGCCAACAGGAUUUCUUGUGUGUAAUGAAAUGUUUUGACAUUUGCACAACCCAGUGAACCAGUAUUUUCCAAACGACCACCAUGAUGUUACAAAAUCAUGUAUGUGUAAAAGAUGGAAGGUAGACCAACGGGUUUUAAGGUAACAAGUACAAAAAGCAUGCUGACAUGGUUUCAGAUUGCUCAUUGCAACUAACUUAGGAAACACCACUUGUGGAGUGUGGUGUGGUGUCUAAGACCCGCGAAUACUUGACAGGGCUGCUACAAGGUCCUCCCCUUCUCACCUACACAUUGGGGUGAAGCUGCGUUUUCAUCACAGAUUUCAUAUUUCAGUGAAAACUUAUUUUACCACAUUGAAUGCAGAAGCAGACAUGGAGAGUCUGGCUGUCCUGUAUUACGUCAGACAUUAAAGAGAUUUGCAACAAUGUAAAACAAAGUUACUUUUCUCACUAAAUGUCUUUGUUUUGAAAAAUACAGUUAUUUUAAAUGAAAAUGUUACUUAUGUUACCAUGUAGGGGGUUUAUUUUAUUUUUAAGUAAAUUAACAAAUAUUUUACAAAUUUAUUAGCUUAUUUUCUAAUACAGUAAAUAUUCGUAGAUAUAACCCACAUAAAGCUCUUAGGGUCCUCAAUAACUUCCCCAGCGUAAAGGGGUCCCAAGACCAAAAUGUUUGAGAACUGCUCUGUUAAACUGAAUUACCAAAACCCUUCCACAAAGAAAGCUCCAGGACCAGUGGGUUCACUUACACAUUCUAUCCUACAUUUAAGGAAGUGACACCCAUCUUACAUACACUCUCUCAACUCCAGGAGGUGGGCACCCCAAGUGUUAUUAGCAAACUGAGGAGUGAAGGGACAGGAAAGGAUGUCUGUGCCUGUCAAAUGGCUCAGAAAAUACCCAUUUUGUGUAUAAAAUAGAAAAUUUAAAACAUAGAAUGAAUACAUAAAUGUGGGAAAAUGUUAAAAAAAAUGAAUCUGGUAAAGGGUUGGGUUCUAUUAUUCUUGUAACUUCUCAGUUUGAAAUUAUUUCAAAAUAAG
Molecule: RNA transcript, 8181 nt
Organism: Globicephala melas (long-finned pilot whale)
Lineage: Eukaryota; Metazoa; Chordata; Mammalia; Artiodactyla; Delphinidae
Gene: TELO2
Gene name: telomere maintenance 2
Source: RefSeq, a predicted model, not a curated record